This 440-nucleotide ribosomal RNA is filed under the name uncultured bacterium. RNAcentral describes it as "partial 16S ribosomal RNA". It matches the Rfam family "Bacterial small subunit ribosomal RNA", at positions 338 to 795 of the family's 1533-position model. The record is from RNAcentral.
CCUACGGGAGGCAGCAGUGGGGGAUAUUGCACAAUGGGGGGAACCCUGAUGCAGCUACGCCGCGUGGGUGAAGAAGCGCCUCGGCGCGUAAAGCCCUGUCAGCAGGGAAGAAAAUGACGGUACCUGAAGAAGAAGCCCCGGCUAACUACGUGCCAGCAGCCGCGGUAAUACGUAGGGGGCUAGCGUUAGCCGGAUUUACUGGGGGUAAGGGGGGCGCAGACGGCGAGGCAAGCCAGGAGUGAAAGCCCGGGGCCCAACCCCGGGACUGCUCUUGGAACUGGGUGGCUGGAGUGCAGGAGGGGGAGGUGGAAUUCCUGGUGUAGCGGUGAAAUGCGUAGAGAUCAGGAGGAACACCGGUGGCGAAGGCGGCCUGCUGGACUGCAACUGACGUUGAGGCCCGAAAGCGUGGGGAGCAAACAGGAUUAGAUACCCCUGUAGUC